Molecule: long non-coding RNA, 1138 nt
Filed under: Sus scrofa (pig)
Lineage: Eukaryota; Metazoa; Chordata; Mammalia; Artiodactyla; Suidae
Description: lncRNA (ENSSSCG00070028826.1)
Source: RNAcentral
UCCGCUCCGGUCGCCCGCGCAGAACCAGCUCCCCAAGCCGCCCGGGCGGCGGGCAAGGGGCGAGCGGGCUUAGGCGAGCCCGAGGAGGCGCAGGCCUGGCCCGGGCCCCGCGGGUCAGUGUGAAGGUCUGUGAGGCUGUUACCAGCACUGUGCUGGGCUACAAAAAAGGAGAGGAGCCUGUCCAGAAUCCCCACAGGACAGGAGAAGGAGGGAACAUCUCAACAUGGAAAAACUCUGCAAUGAAAAUGAAGGAAAGCCUGAGAACCAUGGAAAGAUGGAAGAGGAAGAAGAGCCACUGGAUGCGGGAAAGCCAGGAGUAGCUUGUGCCGUGGCAGACAAAGAAAAGUUAGAAAACAAGGGAAGGACAGAUCACAGGGGAAAGCCAGAAGAUGAGGAAGUUCUAAAGGAUAAGGAAAAGCCAGAGAGUGAGGCAAAGCCCAAAGAAGGAAAGCCAGAGAGCCAGGGAAAGCCAGUGGGCGAGGGCAAACCAAAAGAAGGAAAAGCAGAGAGUGAGGCAAAGCCAGAGAGCCAGGGAAAGCCAGUGGCGAGGGCAAACCAAAAGAAGGAAAAGCAGAGAGUGAGGCAAAGCCAGAGAGCCAGAGAAAGCCAGUGAGUGAGGGCAAGCCCAAAGAAGAAAAGCCAGCCAGCGAGCCAAUGGCUGCAGGAAAGCGCCCAGCUGGGGAUGAUAUACCCAGGAAGGCCAAAAGAAAAACCAACAAGGGGCUGGCUCAGUGUCUCAAGGAAUACAAGGAGGCCAUACACGAUAUGCAUUUGAGCAAUGAGGAGAUGAUAAGAGAAUUUGACGAGAUGGCCAGAGUGGAGGAUGAGGUGAAGAAAACCAGACAGAAAUUGGGGGGUUUUAUGUGGAUGCAAAAAAGUUUACAGGACCCCUUCCACCCCAGGGGCCCAAGGGAACUCAGGGGUGGCUGCAGGGCCCCACAGAGGGGUUUUGAAGACAUUCCUUUUGUGUAGUGCCCCUGGCAGGUCUUUAUUAGGCCUUGUGCUUUAAGGUUUUGCUGAUACUUUGCUCGAGGUGUCAAUCUUGUUAUCAACAAUGUUUUUACCCAUAGAGGAUUUUCCCCCAUGUGCAUUACAAAGACGUUAUGAUUUUUGGAAAAAUAAAGCAGCUUAUGAUAUC